Molecule: unclassified non-coding RNA, 423 nt
Filed under: Hevea brasiliensis (rubber tree)
Lineage: Eukaryota; Viridiplantae; Streptophyta; Magnoliopsida; Malpighiales; Euphorbiaceae
Source: RNAcentral
UCAAUACCUAUUGGUUCUACAUCAGUGAAUCUCAAUUUAGAUAUUUUGUUCUUCAAUAGGUCUUCCUGGUUAAAACCAAACCAAUUUAGAUGCUUAGGCUGCUGUUUUAUAUCUCGUACUGUCAAAAUGGACAAUGAUCCACUAUUACACUGUUUUUAGCUAUUUGUUCUAAUACUGAGAAUGUAAUGAAAACCCAUACUACAUCCUGUAAAAUUUGAUUGCAAAAAGUAGUUCUUUAACUUGAAUAUUCAGGGAAAAAUUGAAAAACUUGAAGUAAAUGGAAUAUACGGAUGAUUUCUCAUAAAUGAGCAUUGGGAAUCAUCUUUAAAUUUCCCUUCUAUGGUUUUUCAUAUGAUGCAACUAAACUGAUUGUAAUUCACGAAUUAACAUAUUGUCAAGCCUUCUACUAUCUUGGUUCUAGAG